GAUGAACGCUAGCGGCAGGCCUAACACAUGCAAGUCGAGGGGCAUCACGGAAAAGCUUGCUUUUCCGGUGGCGACCGGCGCACGGGUGAGGAGCACGUAUGGAACCUGCCCCUGUCAGGG
This 120-nucleotide ribosomal RNA is filed under the name uncultured bacterium. RNAcentral describes it as "partial 16S ribosomal RNA". It matches the Rfam family "Bacterial small subunit ribosomal RNA", at positions 28 to 140 of the family's 1533-position model. The record is from RNAcentral.